Molecule: long non-coding RNA, 822 nt
Filed under: Zalophus californianus (California sea lion)
Lineage: Eukaryota; Metazoa; Chordata; Mammalia; Carnivora; Otariidae
Description: lncRNA (ENSZCAG00015010468.1)
Source: RNAcentral
CUCCUGAGAAACACCUUCCCCAAUCCCACCCUCUAUUUCUACCCUGCUCCCAUCCCUCAUUAAAACCCUAUCCCCUUCCCACCCCUCCCUACCCCACCCGCCCCUCCCUCCACUCCACCCCCCAUCUCCACCUCCUCCCCGUCACCCCAGCGCCCCUUGAAAGGACCAAGACAUGAAGGUGCAGAGGCUGUUGUUCUGGCUGCUCUUGCUCUGGUGUCCCAGUUCCCCAAACCCAAAUGAAGCUGGAAAAUACACACUGUGAACUGAAGGCACAGAAGAGUCAACUGGCAGCUGCUGAGGAAAAUUUGAAACUGGUUACCGAAGAGAUAGACAAGUAUAAACAAGAAAUUGGAGAAAUGCAAGAUCAGCUACAGAAGGCAGAGCUCAACUUCAAACUCAAGGUCGCAGCUCAUGAGAGAAGUGCUCUAGAUAAUUGGGUUAAGGCUCGGUUUUGGGAGAGGAAGAUAGUGCAGCAGAGCAGGGAGAACACCUACAUGAAACACAGACUGCACAUGAUGAGGAGAGACACGCCUCCUGAGGGAUCCAUGAGGCAGGAACCGAUGCCGGGAAGAUCCGAGAUAUGGAACCGUGUGCAGAGAGAAUCUAGACCGGUUCCCAGGAUGAACAGCAGCACCAGCCCGAAAAAGGACCCGGAGAUGGCUACGGACAGUACAUUUGUAAUUUGAAGACCUCCCUGAGCAAUUACAACCAGGCUGUGUGUAUAUAUUUAGAAAAUUGUCAGAUCAGCCUAAUGUCCUGAAUGCUGUCCCUCCCCAUCCUGUCCCCUGUGCUCUGUCUCUCCUGGUAUCCCCCAAAUAAACC